Molecule: transfer RNA, 92 nt
Filed under: Odontella aurita
Lineage: Eukaryota; Bacillariophyta; Thalassiosirophyceae; Eupodiscales; Odontellaceae
Description: tRNA-Ser
Rfam family: tRNA
About the family: Transfer RNA (tRNA) molecules are approximately 80 nucleotides in length.
Source: RNAcentral
GGAAAGGUGACUGAGUGGUUUAAAGUGAAGAUCUGCUAAAUCUUUGUAUAUCUAUGUUAAAUAUACCGUGGGUUCAAAUCCCACUCUUUCCU